Molecule: ribosomal RNA, 489 nt
Filed under: uncultured bacterium
Lineage: Bacteria
Description: bacterial SSU rRNA
Rfam family: Bacterial small subunit ribosomal RNA
Source: RNAcentral
AGCGAACGUUAGCGGCGCGCUUAACACAUGCAAGUCGCACGAGAAAGGGAGCAAUCCCCGGUACAGUGGCGCACGGGUGAGUAACACGUGGAUGACCUUCCCGAGAGUGGUGGAUAACCUGCCGAAAGGCGGGCUAAUACAGCAUAGGACCACGACGCCUUGGUGACGUGGUGAAAGCGGGCCUCUGUACACAAGCUCGCGCUCUUGGAUGGGUCCGCGGCCCAUCAGCUAGUUGGCGGGGUAAUGGCCCACCAAGGCUACGACGGGUAGCUGGUCUGAGAGGAUGAUCAGCCACACUGGAACUGAGACACGGUCCAGACUCCUACGGGAGGCAGCAGUGGGGAAUCUUGCGCAAUGGGCGAAAGCCUGACGCAGCGACGCCGCGUGGGUGACGAAGGCCCUCGGGUUGUAAAGCCCUGUGGGGAGGACGAACCGCUUCAUGGAUAACACCCAUGGAGCCUGACGGUACCUCCUUAGCAAGCAUCGGCU